This 300-nucleotide ribosomal RNA is filed under the name uncultured Lactobacillus sp. RNAcentral's name for it is "bacterial SSU rRNA". The stretch from base 51 to 300 matches the Rfam family "Bacterial small subunit ribosomal RNA", at positions 547 to 795 of the family's 1533-position model. Lineage: Bacteria; Bacillati; Bacillota; Bacilli; Lactobacillales; Lactobacillaceae. The record is from RNAcentral.
CAAGAGUGGGGGCAGGAGGCGGGGUUAUAGGUAGGGGGGAAGCGUUGUCCGGAUGUAUUGGGCGUAAAGAGCUCGUAGGCGGUUUAGUAAGUCGGAUGUGAAAUCUCCAGGCUCAACUUGGAGGGGUCAUUCGAUACUGCCAUGACUAGAGUUCGGUAGGGGAGUGUGGAAUACCUGGUGGAGCGGUGAAAUGCGCAGAUAUCAGGUGGAACACCCGUAGCGAAGGCGGCACUCUGGGCCGGAACUGACGCUGAGGAGCGAAAGCGUGGGGAGCGAACAGGAUUAGAUACCCCGGUAGUC